RNAcentral lists this transfer RNA (73 nucleotides) under Ovis aries (sheep). It matches the Rfam family "tRNA". From Rfam's summary of the family: Transfer RNA (tRNA) molecules are approximately 80 nucleotides in length. Their secondary structure includes four short double-helical elements and three loops (D, anti-codon, and T loops). The record is from Rfam by way of RNAcentral. Lineage: Eukaryota; Metazoa; Chordata; Mammalia; Artiodactyla; Bovidae.
UCCCUGGUGGUUGAGUGGUUAAGACUCUGUGCUGCUGACGCAGGGGGCAUGGGUUUGAACCCUGGUCAGGGAA